Long non-coding RNA from Anser brachyrhynchus (Pink-footed goose), 1577 nucleotides. The record is from Ensembl. Lineage: Eukaryota; Metazoa; Chordata; Aves; Anseriformes; Anatidae.
AGAAAUUUAAGUGGUCAGGCUUGUCAAGGAGAAGGAAAACUGCAGGGCUGGAGACCGACUGAGAUUAGAACUGACUUUUGGAGAAAUGGGAGCUGAGGUAAUGAUCCGGCACUGCUCAGCGCAAGGGAUCUCCUGUACCAAGGCCAGAGGAGGCAGCGCCCAGGCACUUCUGCCCCCGAUGCUGAGGCAAUCUCUUUUGCUCAAGACCGACUGCCUCUGCCGUGAGCGCAACCCUUUUGUCAUCUGCACCGUGCUCCCCUUUGUCAUUGCACCGCUGGACUCACAUCCUUGAACUCAGAGCACAAAAAAACCCUCUGGUUUUUGAAGUGAUGGUUUGUUUGUUUUUCCUCUUUGGUCGAUGCCGGGAUCAGUGAUGUCAAGUUGUUCUAUUUGCUUUGACAGGAAAAUGUUUUCAGAGUUCAUUAGGAUGGCAUCAAUUCUAGCAUUUGGCACACAAACAUUUGAUGACCUUCAUGUGUGGGAAGAAAUAUGUAGGCAAAACUUCCAUUAGUUUGAAAAAAUGCUUCCACUCAACACCGGUCAGAUUCCUGAGCUGCCCGAGUUGUGAUCGGCCGGGAGGCUGUGGGCAUGGAGCCGCGCCCGGCGCUCCUGGGAGCCGGGCUGGGGUACCGCUGGGUCCGCGCCUCCGCCUCGCUGCCCGGCAGGUGCUGCCGCCGUCCUGCCCUACCCACACAGCGUCCUAACGCUCGCCUGGAUUCACCAUGUUUUUAUGUUUUGCUCUCAUAUCCCGUAAUCAAGAGGAAGGCCCCGGUGUGGAUAGAGGGGAUUUGUACUCAGCCUUUGUUUGAUGUUUGCUUGUUCCUAGUGGUGCUGCCUGGGUAAGGAAAGCCAAAUGCUGCCCAUAUGUUGUAGUGCUCCCUUAAAUUAUAGAGGGCGAACAUUUAUGGCUGCUCUCACUGUUGCUCCGUCUCUGUCCCCUGCUAAAUGAUACGUUUUCACAGGCAAUUACGGAGGUGUGGAGUCAGGACUGGUUUCUGAGGUGUGCCACUUAACGGCCUACAUGUAAAAAUGGGAGACGGGAGGAGGAGGAUGGCAGAGGUUCAGUAUCGUGCCCUGCUUAAGAGAAUGUCCUUCAAGUGAGCAGAAUUCUGCACCUUGUGAAAGUAUGACUUUAAUUUUGCCUUUCAAAUAUGAACUAUGCAAGGCUGUCAACACAUACUAUGUUCCUCCUUGUCAGACCGUUUCACUUAGUCUGUCAGCUGUAAACAGCUUAAGAGGCAUGUCAUUCCAGCAUUAUUAUAGCACUUUUAGAUUUGCUUUUAGAUUGGGUCUGUAUCUGUUCUUGCAAAAGGUGUAGAUACAGAGAUGACACGGGUUAUUUAUUGUGUUACUGCAAAAUGCUACUUGUGCUUUGUGGUAAGCGCAGAGUAACUCCAUUUCAAAUAAUGGACACUGCCGAGUAAUAGUCCUGUAGUACCGUGGUAAUGCCAGGGCCAUACUUGGUCUCGUCAGCUGUGUCACUAGAGCAGGGUACUUCACUGCCUGGGUAUAUGGCCUCACACUUCAUGUGAAGUUUUAUUUCCCAAGAGAUCGGGCAAGCAAAAUUAAGAUGUAUG